RNAcentral lists this transfer RNA (85 nucleotides) under Legionella pneumophila. Its description in RNAcentral is "tRNA-Leu". It matches the Rfam family "tRNA". Rfam says of the family: Transfer RNA (tRNA) molecules are approximately 80 nucleotides in length. Their secondary structure includes four short double-helical elements and three loops (D, anti-codon, and T loops). Lineage: Bacteria; Pseudomonadati; Pseudomonadota; Gammaproteobacteria; Legionellales; Legionellaceae. The record is from RNAcentral.
GCCGAAGUGGUGAAAUUGGUAGACACGCCGUUCUAAGGGGGCGGUGGCGCAAGCCGUGCCGGUUCGAGUCCGGCCUUCGGCACCA